Long non-coding RNA from Saccostrea cuccullata (small rock oyster), 1047 nucleotides. RefSeq lists it as uncharacterized. The transcript is spliced from 3 exons. Lineage: Eukaryota; Metazoa; Mollusca; Bivalvia; Ostreida; Ostreidae. The record is from RefSeq and is a predicted model, not a curated record.
CUGGAACCAAGAAAAUUCGGACUACCCAGUUUUUAUGCGUUUUUCCAAUUUUUCUUAAAGUUUUCUCGAUAGAUAAGUGAAAUAAAUUAAUUUGUGAGCAAAACAAACUACAAUUUCUAUUAGGGUUGAUUAAAAUUAAUGCAAAACUGUAAGGCCAUGUAAGUCUCGUUUACUUUCACUUUCGUUUUAUAACUUCCGGGUAUCUGAGCGUUCUUGGAGACAAUGGAUUACCGCUUCGCAUUAGGUUUUAAGCGGACUAGUAGAGCCUGUCAUAUCGUUUGUUUCCCGAUUAUUGAAAAGAAGAGGAGAAACUGGAUUAAGUUAUACAGGAAUUAAUGAGCAGUGGCUGAAUUGCAUAACAGGGGAUGGGGGAUGCAGUAGUAGGUAAAGGGUUCUUGUGGCUGCAUUGAAGGGAAAAGACCUGGCGGGAGUGCAGGGGCAAAGCCCCCAUAAAACUGAGGAAAAACCUAAAGUUUUUUCCCUUUGAUUUUAGAAUAGCAUAAGCAAAAUUUCAUAAACAAAUUUAAAGACUUUAAGAGGAAGGGGGCACAUGCCCAUCGCGCUUGCCCUGGAUCCGCCUUUGAUUAGAAACUGGAAUUUUUCUCAUUUGUUGUACAUGUAGCUACAACAAUUUAACUGUGUCUCCUUACAGGCCCUCACUGGGGCCAUAGGAUAUUCAUCAUUCAACAAUACAAUAUUUUAUCUAUGUUACAGGGCUCCAGAAGGUACUAAAAAAGGACAAUGCUUCAACUGAAUGUGUCAUCUUUGUACUGGUAUCUGUUAAUGGGGUUUAUCUCAUAGUUCUCUCAUAUGACAACUUCCAAGUAGUUACUGAUGGAAUUCAUUUUAAAUCAGGCACAAUAUGAUCACUUCCACCUGAUGUUUUUCCAGGUUCUUGUGAAAAGUGUUUCAACUGGCACCAUUCCGCUACAAAUACUUUGCCGAUGGAACUGACAUCAAUCAAAUGCUCACGACACUGAUAAUUCAUUAAUUGGAAGAGAAUUUCUUUGGGACAAACAAACUGUUUCAACAUUUUUCACCUACAAG